GCCAGCGUGGUGUAGUGGUUAAAACACUGGACUAUGAUUCUGGAGACCAGAGUUCAAAUCUUAGCUUGGCC
This is a non-coding RNA of Phrynosoma platyrhinos (Desert horned lizard), 71 nucleotides long. NCBI's taxonomy places the organism in Eukaryota, Metazoa, Chordata, Lepidosauria, Squamata, Phrynosomatidae. The record is from the annotation of a GenBank genome assembly.